Molecule: ribosomal RNA, 369 nt
Filed under: uncultured organism
Description: bacterial SSU rRNA
Rfam family: Bacterial small subunit ribosomal RNA
Source: RNAcentral
CGGAGGGUGCAAGCGUUAUCCGGAUUCACUGGGGUUUAAAGGGUGCGUAGGUGGGUUGGUAAGUCAGUGGUGAAAUCCCCGAGCUUAACUUGGGAACUGCCAUUGAUACUAUCAGUCUUGAAUACCGUGGAGGUCAGCGGAAUAUGUCAUGUAGCGGUGAAAUGCUUAGAUAUGACAUAGAACACCAAUUGCGAAGGCAGCUGGCUACACGAAUAUUGACACUGAGGCACGAAAGCGUGGGGAUCAAACAGGAUUAGAUACCCUGGUGGUCCACGCCCUAAACUAUGGAUACUCGACAUACGCGAUACACUGUGUGUGUCUGAGCGAAAGCAUUAAGUAUCCCACCUGGGAAGUACGGUCGCAAGAUUG